Small nuclear RNA from Nannospalax galili (Upper Galilee mountains blind mole rat), 103 nucleotides. The record is from RefSeq and is a predicted model, not a curated record. Lineage: Eukaryota; Metazoa; Chordata; Mammalia; Rodentia; Spalacidae.
ACUGCUGGCUUCAGCAGUAUAGACACUAAAAUUGAAAUGGUACAGAGAAGAUGGGCUUCUGCACAAGAAUGACAUGUAAACUCCUGAUACAUCCCGUGUUUUC